Molecule: ribosomal RNA, 1426 nt
Filed under: uncultured bacterium
Lineage: Bacteria
Description: bacterial SSU rRNA
Rfam family: Bacterial small subunit ribosomal RNA
Source: RNAcentral
UGCAAGUCGAGCGGAGAUUGCAGUAAUAAUAUCUUAGCGGCGGACGGGUGAGUAACGCGUGGGCAACCUGCCUCACACUGGGGGAUAACACAGGGAAACUUGUGCUAAUACCGCAUAACAUCAUGAAAGGACAUCCUUUUAUGAUCAAAGGAGAAAUCCGCUUUGAGAUGGGCCCGCGGCUGAUUAGCUAGUUGGUGAGGUAAUGGCUCACCAAGGCGACGAUCAGUAGCCGACCUGAGAGGGUGACCGGCCACACUGGAACUGAGAUACGGCCCAGACUCCUACGGGGGGCAGCAGUGGGGAAUAUCGCACAAUGGGGGCAACCCUGACGCAGCAACGCCGCGUGAAGGAUGAAGGUUUUCGGAUCGUAAACUUCUUUGAUGGGGGACGAAACAAAUGACGGUACCCGAAAAACAAGCCACGGCUAACUACGUGCCAGCAGCCGCGGUAAUACGUAGGUGGCGAGCGUUGUCCGGAAUUACUGGGUGUAAAGGGCGUGUAGGCGGGUUUGCAAGUCAGAUGUGAAAUUCCGGAGCUUAACUCCGGCGCUGCAUUUGAAACUGCAAGUCUUGAGUACUGGAGAGGGAAGCGGAAUUCCUAGUGUAGCGGUGAAAUGCGUAGAUAUUAGGAGGAACACCAGUGGCGAAGGCGGCUUUCUGGACAGUAACUGACGCUGAGGCGCGAAAGCGUGGGGAGCAAACAGGAUUAGAUACCCUGGUAGUCCACGCUGUAAACGAUGGAUACUAGGUGUAGGAGGUAUCGACCCCUUCUGUGCCGGAGUUAACACAAUAAGUAUCCCACCUGGGGAGUACGGCCGCAAGGUUGAAACUCAAAGGAAUUGACGGGGGCCCGCACAAGCAGUGGAGUAUGUGGUUUAAUUCGAAGCAACGCGAAGAACCUUACCAGGGCUUGACAUCCCGUGACAGCUCAAGAGAUUGCUUAGUCCUUCGGGACACCUGUGCAGGUGGUGCAUGGUUGUCGUCAGCUCGUGUCGUGAGAUGUUGGGUUAAGUCCCGCAACGAGCGCAACCCUUGUUGUUAGUUGCCAUCAUUAAGUUGGGCACUCUAACGAGACUGCCGGUGACAAAUCGGAGGAAGGUGGGGACGACGUCAAAUCAUCAUGCCCCUUAUGUCCUGGGCUACACACGUACUACAAUGGCUAUAACAGCAGGAAGCGAAACAGCGAUGUGGAGCAAAUCCCAAAAUACAGUCCCAGUUCGGAUUGUAGGCUGAAACUCGCCUACAUGAAGUCGGAAUUGCUAGUAAUCGUAGGUCAGCAUACUACCGUGAAUACGUUCCCGGGCCUUGUACACACCGCCCGUCACACCAUGAGAGUCUGCAACACCCGAAGUCAGUAGUUUAACCAGUAAGGAGAGAGCUGCCGAAGGUGGGGCCGAUGACUGGGGUGAAGUCGUAACAAGGUAACC